ACUCCUGCGGGAGGCAGCAGUGGGGAAUAUUGGACAAUGGGCGCAAGCCUGAUCCAGCCAUGCCGCGUGAGUGAUGAAGGCCCUAGGGUUGUAAAGCUCUUUCACCGGUGAAGAUAAUGACGGUAACCGGAGAAGAAGCCCCGGCUAACUUCGUGCCAGCAGCCGCGGUAAUACGAAGGGGGCUAGCGUUGUUCGGAUUUACUGGGCGUAAAGCGCACGUAGGCGGACUAUUAAGUCAGGGGUGAAAUCCCGGGGCUCAACCCCGGAACUGCCUUUGAUACUGGUAGUCUUGAGUUCGAGAGAGGUGAGUGGAAUUCCGAGUGUAGAGGUGAAAUUCGUAGAUAUUCGGAGGAACACCAGUGGCGAAGGCGGCUCACUGGCUCGAUACUGACGCUGAGGUGCGAAAGCGUGGGGAGCAAACAGGAUUAGAAACCCCUGUAGUCCC
RNAcentral lists this ribosomal RNA (445 nucleotides) under uncultured organism. Its description in RNAcentral is "partial 16S ribosomal RNA". It matches the Rfam family "Bacterial small subunit ribosomal RNA", at positions 335 to 797 of the family's 1533-position model. The record is from RNAcentral.